GUUAUGUAGCAAACGGUAGAAAAAUUAAAAUUCUAACAGAUAGAAGUGAAAAAUUUUCGUUGUGAAUUAUAAUAAUCCUGACAACUUACAUAUAUGAAUACAGGGGUCGAAUGGUUACAUCCGAGCACGGAUCGUCACACAUACGAAAGAAAAUUAGGUGAAACGUCAAUCGUAUGCGGUGAUUGGCGUUACGGGGCAUCUCGACAGGCAAAAAUUUAUAGUAUACUAACUGUAUUGAUGUGCGUAUUGCCUGUGGAGACCCCAUAUUGCUUAUGGAAUACAAUAUAUAGAAUUAUACGCUGCAAGACGGAAGAGUGUUAGUGAACAGCUGAAAAUGUUACAUAUUCUGGAAUUUUCAAUUGAAUGGGAGAUUACGAAAGACGAAUACCCAACUUUUCAAGAAGAAGAAAACGAAAAGCGCAGGGUAAUUACCCUGCAAGACGGAGGUAACAGAUUGCACAAACACAUUGAAACAUUUUCAGUCCACCAUUGCACACCAUGUAGAGUCAUCCUUGGAUAAUAUGAUACGAGACUCUUUGAUUCGAGAGAGAGCUGUCAAAACUCGCAUUUUUUAUAACAUUUGUCAAUGAUGUCACUGCUGAAAAACAUUAUAUUGAGUAUGUAAUAAAUUAUACAAAACACUAAAUAAAACACUUUGAAAAUGC
This is a long non-coding RNA of Bactrocera neohumeralis, 665 nucleotides long. RefSeq lists it as uncharacterized. The transcript has 3 exons. The record is from RefSeq and is a predicted model, not a curated record. NCBI's taxonomy places the organism in Eukaryota, Metazoa, Arthropoda, Insecta, Diptera, Tephritidae.